UACGUAGGGACCAAGCGGUGUUCGGAUUUACUGGGCGUAAAGGGCGCGUAGGCGGCGUGGUAAGUCACUUGUGAAAUCUCUGAGCUUAACUCAGAACGGCCAAGUGAUACUGCUGUGCUAGAGUGCAGAAGGGGCAAUCGGAAUUCUUGGUGUAGCGGUGAAAUGCGUAGAUAUCAAGAGGAACACCUGAGGUGAAGACGGGUUGCUGGGCUGACACUGACGCUGAGGCGCGAAAGCUAGGGGAGCAAACGGG
RNAcentral lists this ribosomal RNA (253 nucleotides) under uncultured bacterium. RNAcentral's name for it is "partial 16S ribosomal RNA". It matches the Rfam family "Bacterial small subunit ribosomal RNA", at positions 524 to 776 of the family's 1533-position model. The record is from RNAcentral.